GGAGAGGUGCGAGAGUGGCCGAAUCGGGCGGUCUCGAAAACCGCUGUGUCAGUGAUGGCACCGUGGGUUCAAAUCCCACCCUCUCCG
RNAcentral lists this transfer RNA (87 nucleotides) under Acidimicrobiaceae bacterium. RNAcentral describes it as "tRNA-Ser". It matches the Rfam family "tRNA". Rfam says of the family: Transfer RNA (tRNA) molecules are approximately 80 nucleotides in length. Their secondary structure includes four short double-helical elements and three loops (D, anti-codon, and T loops). Lineage: Bacteria; Bacillati; Actinomycetota; Acidimicrobiia; Acidimicrobiales; Acidimicrobiaceae. The record is from RNAcentral.